UUCACAGGACUGCUCAGCUUUGA
Molecule: non-coding RNA, 23 nt
Filed under: Cricetulus griseus (Chinese hamster)
Lineage: Eukaryota; Metazoa; Chordata; Mammalia; Rodentia; Cricetidae
Source: RNAcentral